AGUGAACGCUGGCGGUAGGCCUAACACAUGCAAGUCGAACGGCAGCACAGUAAGAGCUUGCUCUUACGGGUGGCGAGUGGCGGACGGGUGAGGAAUACAUCGGAAUCUACUUUUUCGGGGGGGAUAACGUAGGGAAACUUACGCUAAUACCGCAUACGACCUACGGGUGAAAGCAGGGGAUCUUCGGACCUUGCGCGAUUGAAUGAGCCGAUGUCGGAUUAGCUAGUUGGCGGGGUAAAGGCCCACCAAGGCGACGAUCCGUAGCUGGUCUGAGAGGAUGAUCAGCCACACUGGAACUGAGACACGGUCCAGGCUCCUACGGGAGGCAGCAGUGGGGAAUAUUGGACAAUGGGCGCAAGCCUGAUCCAGCCAUACCGCGUGGGUGAAGAAGGCCUUCGGGUUGUAAAGCCCUUUUGUUGGGAAAGAAGAGCAGCAGGUUAAUACGCCGCUGUUCUGACGGUACCCAAAGAAUAAGCACCGGCUAACUUCGUG
RNAcentral lists this ribosomal RNA (492 nucleotides) under uncultured bacterium. RNAcentral's name for it is "partial 16S ribosomal RNA". It matches the Rfam family "Bacterial small subunit ribosomal RNA", at positions 29 to 507 of the family's 1533-position model. The record is from RNAcentral.